This 482-nucleotide ribosomal RNA is filed under the name uncultured bacterium. Its description in RNAcentral is "partial 16S ribosomal RNA". It matches the Rfam family "Bacterial small subunit ribosomal RNA", at positions 30 to 507 of the family's 1533-position model. The record is from RNAcentral.
AUUGAACGCUGGCGGCAUGCCUUACACAUGCAAGUCGAACGGUAACGGGCCUUCGGGUGCCGACGAGUGGCGAACGGGUGAGUAAUACAUCGGAACGUGCCCCAUCGUUGUGGAUAACGAGGCGCAAGCUUUACUAAUACCGCAUACGAUCUACGGAUUAAAGCAGGGGGCCGCAAUGCCUUGCGCGGGCGGAGCGGCCGCUGGCAGAUUGGGUCGUUGGUGGGAUAAAAGUUUACCAAGCCGACGAUUUGUAGCUGGUCUGAGAGGAUGAGCAGCCACAAUGGGACUGAGACACGGCCCAGAAUCCUAAGGGAGGCAGCAGUGGGGAAUUUUGGACAAUGGGCGCAAGCCUGAUCCAGCCAUGCCGCGUGCAGGAUGAAGGCUUUCGGGUUGUAAAAUGCUUUUGUACGGAAAGAAAAGCCUUCUUUUAAUACAGGGGGGUCAUGAAGGUACCGUAAGAAUAAGCCCCGGCUAACUACGUG